Molecule: ribosomal RNA, 262 nt
Filed under: uncultured bacterium
Lineage: Bacteria
Description: partial 16S ribosomal RNA
Rfam family: Bacterial small subunit ribosomal RNA
Source: RNAcentral
GUCCACGCCGUAAACGGUGGGCGCUAGGUGUGGGUUUCCUUCCACGGGAUCCGUGCCGUAGCUAACGCAUUAAGCGCCCCGCCUGGGGAGUACGGCCGCAAGGCUAAAACUCAAAGGAAUUGACGGGGCCCGCACAAGCGGCGGAGCAUGUGGAUUAAUUCGAUGCAACGCGAAGAACCUUACCUGGGUUUGACAUACACUGGAAAGGCCUAGAGAUAGGUCCCCCCUUGUGGUCGGUGUACAGGUGGUGCAUGGCUGUCGU